GACGAACGCUGGCGGCGUGCCUAACACAUGCAAGUCGAGCGGAGUCGAUCGACGGAAGCCUUCGGGCGGAAGAUGGUUGACUUAGCGGCGGAUGGGUGAGUAACGCGUGGGCAACCUGCCUCGAAGACCGGGAUAACAGCCCGAAAGGGCUGCUAAUACCGGAUGUGGUCAAGGAUCCGCAUGGAUUUUUGAUUAAAGGGGAAACCCGUUUCGAGAUGGGCCCGCGUCCUAUCAGCUAGUUGGUGAGGUAAAAGCUCACCAAGGCGACGACGGGUAGCCGGCCUGAGAGGGUGACCGGCCACACUGGAACUGAGACACGGUCCAGACUCCUACGGGGGCAGCAGUGGGGAAUCUUCCACAAUGGGCGAAAGCCUGAUGGAGCGACGCCGCGUGAGCGAAGAAGGCCUUCGGGUUGUAAGACUCUGUCUGGAGGGACGAAGGAAGUGACGGUACCUCCGGAGGAAGCCACGGCUAACUACGUGCCAGCAGCCGCGGUAAAGUACUACUAUCUCGGAC
This 516-nucleotide ribosomal RNA is filed under the name uncultured bacterium. RNAcentral's name for it is "bacterial SSU rRNA". It matches the Rfam family "Bacterial small subunit ribosomal RNA", at positions 35 to 539 of the family's 1533-position model. The record is from RNAcentral.